UGCUGCGGGCCACCGCUGAUGAGGAC
Molecule: non-coding RNA, 26 nt
Filed under: Homo sapiens (human)
Lineage: Eukaryota; Metazoa; Chordata; Mammalia; Primates; Hominidae
Source: RNAcentral